Long non-coding RNA from Thamnophis elegans (Western terrestrial garter snake), 513 nucleotides. RefSeq lists it as uncharacterized. NCBI's taxonomy places the organism in Eukaryota, Metazoa, Chordata, Lepidosauria, Squamata, Natricidae. The transcript has 3 exons. The record is from RefSeq and is a predicted model, not a curated record.
AUGAAACAGAUUAUCUAGACCAGUGGUUCCCAAACUUGGCAACUUUAAGACUUGUGGACUUCAACUCCCAGAUUUUGGUAUAGUUUGGUAUAUUUCGUAGGAAGAGAAUGAAAAAAAAAGGAUUGAUGAUUCUGGCAGGAGUUGGGUGAAAACAAUUUCCCUCCACUUUGAAAAUAGAUGUUGAACACAUUUUGGAAGGGAAACGAUUCUUCCUCACUAACCAUUCCAAAUAAAUCACCACGAGGAAGCAGAAGAAUCGGCCAGGAUGUGUUGGAAUCCUCUAGGAAUGAGUAAACGGUGCUUCACGUUCAUUUAUCAAAUUGGUAACUUCAAGUACAUUUCUUCUCUGAAUUAAGUGAAGUUCAGGGAUGUUCCAAUUAACAGAUGCUCAACUCUUGAACCGAACAGGAUGACAAUUUAUGUACCCACUUGGUAAGCUGAACUAAACCUGUGGAAUUUGCCUUAUGGAUUGGGUGUCAAAACUUUGCAUAUAAUAAAAUAUCAUGCAGUAUA